Non-coding RNA from Chrysemys picta bellii (western painted turtle), 296 nucleotides. NCBI's taxonomy places the organism in Eukaryota, Metazoa, Chordata, Testudines, Emydidae. The record is from RefSeq and is a predicted model, not a curated record.
AGAAGCACCACACCAGUAGCCUCUCACAACACUGGUGACCCCGACCGCUGAUCUGGUUUCCACUUUUGGCUCCCAAACAUAGCAAAGCAUCAUGAAAGUAUACCCUCAAAUACCCUCAAAGUACUGCAUUUAAAAUUUAUUUUAGUGUAAUUUUAUAGUUAGUUUAAUUUUGUAUGCUUUUCUUUUGUUAUGUUAUGUUAAUGGGAAGCAGUGGUUGUUAAAGUUGUGCUUCUAAACUGUUAACAAAAGUAAAAUUAGUAUCACAAGCAAAUUAACUCUAAAAAGCUUGGUAAAAA